This 1298-nucleotide ribosomal RNA is filed under the name uncultured Actinomycetes bacterium. RNAcentral describes it as "SSU rRNA". It matches the Rfam family "Bacterial small subunit ribosomal RNA", at positions 44 to 1359 of the family's 1533-position model. The record is from RNAcentral. Lineage: Bacteria; Bacillati; Actinomycetota; Actinomycetes.
GUGCUUACCAUGCAGUCGAACGGUGAACUCCGCUUGCGGGGGGAUCAGUGGCGAACGGGUGAGUAACACGUGGGCAACCUGCCCUCAGCUCUGGGAUAACUCCAAGAAAUUGGGGCUAAUACUGGAUAUGACUGCUAGCCGCAUGGUCUGGUGGUGGAAAGAUUUAUCGGCUGAGGAUGGGCCCGCGGCCUAUCAGCUUGUUGGUGGGGUAGUGGCCUACCAAGGCGACGACGGGUAGCCGGCCUGAGAGGGUGACCGGCCACACUGGGACUGAGACACGGCCCAGACUCCUACGGGAGGCAGCAGUGGGGAAUAUUGCGCAAUGGGCGAAAGCCUGACGCAGCGACGCCGCGUGGGGGAUGACGGCCUUCGGGUUGUAAACCUCUUUCAGCAGGGACGAAGCGAAAGUGACGGUACCUGCAGAAGAAGCACCGGCCAACUACGUGCCAGCAGCCGCGGUAAUACGUAGGGUGCAAGCGUUGUCCGGAAUUAUUGGGCGUAAAGAGCUCGUAGGCGGUUUGUUGCGUCGGCUGUGAAAACCUGAGGCUCAACCUCAGGCCUGCAGUCGAUACGAGCAGACUAGAGUGUUGCAGGGGAGACUGGAAUUCCUGGUGUAGCGGUGAAAUGCGCAGAUAUCAGGAGGAACACCGGUGGCGAAGGCGGGUCUCUGGGCAACAACUGACGCUGAGGAGCGAAAGCGUGGGGAGCGAACAGGAUUAGAUACCCUGGUAGUCCACGCCGUAAACGUUGGGCGCUAGGUGUGGGGCUCAUUCCACGAGUUCCGUGCCGCAGCUAACGCAUUAAGCGCCCCGCCUGGGGAGUACGGCCGCAAGGCUAAAACUCAAAGGAAUUGACGGGGGCCCGCACAAGCGGCGGAGCAUGUUGCUUAAUUCGAUGCAACGCGAAGAACCUUACCUGGGCUUGACAUGCACGGAAAUCCUCCAGAGAUGGUGGGUCCGCAAGGGUCGUGCACAGGUGGUGCAUGGUUGUCGUCAGCUCGUGUCGUGAGAUGUUGGGUUAAGUCCCGCAACGAGCGCAACCCUCGUUCUAUGUUGCCAGCACGUGAUGGUGGGGGCUCAUAGGAGACUGCCGGGGUCAACUCGGAGGAAGGUGGGGAUGACGUCAAAUCAUCAUGCCCCUUAUGUCUAGGGCUGCAAACAUGCUACAAUGGCCGGUACAAAGGGCUGCGAUACCGCGAGGUGGAGCGAAUCCCAAAAAGCCGGUCUCAGUUCGGAUUGGGGUCUGCAACUCGACCCCAUGAAGUUGGAGUCGCUAGUAAUCGCAGAUCAGCAACGCUG